GGCACUUAUUUACAGUAGAAAAGUUCAUGUUCCACUCUCAGUCUCUUUCAACUCACUCUCUCUCAAAUUGAAACUGGUGACCUUUUACACUCUCUCUCUCAACAUUGAUACUGGCCUCUGUUUCUUCUUUCUUUCUUCCAUUGUAUACAAUGUUUUUUUACUGCUUUCAUUUACUUGUUUUUGGAGCAACAAAUUAGGGGAGUUGUGUAUGACGAUGAUGUUGGACGAAUUUCAAGAUAUCUAAAGGGUGGUUAUGACCUCAUAGUUGAUGGUUCUAUAUUUCCUUUCGAGAGACAUUAUGGUUGCUUCCAAUAACUAUAGACGAGACAGAGUUCAAAAUAAAGAAUUAAUAAUGAUGGUUCCCACUACUCAUUAUUUUAUUUCAUGCGCUGCCGCAUCUGGAUUAUACCUAGAAAAAGUACAACUUUAGUUUAUGGUGUCUGUUGUACUUCAGAGAUCUGGUGAGUUUUCAGUAUAGCUCCUCCUAUCAGUUUCUUCCCUUCCAUAUUAUACACAUAUACAAUGACUACACAUGUGCCAUAAAUGAAUCGCAUAGUUCAACCUUUGAAGAAGUGACGCACUGCUGGUUAGUAUGGCCACAAUCCUUUACUAAUGAUGUUUACAAUUUCUACGGUUUCCGUCCCUUAGAACUGUUUGCAAUAUGCAGGUUAUGUAAAAAAUAAAAAACCUAUGAUUCAUAUUAAUCGGUUGCGCUCCAACUAUCAUUGAGAAUUCUUAUCGAUAUUAAUAAAGGUUGGGGUGCUCAUCGUGAAGUUGUCUUUUUAGUAUGCAUAAGUUUUUUGGAUAACACUUUUUAGUUGCAUUUGAAGUCGAAUUACUUCAAACCUACAGUUGGUGAAUCCACAAAGUGAAGCCAGUAAUAUUCUUUUAAUUUUUUGAGUUCUUUGGUUCCAACUGGUUUACCUUUUCCAUCUAGAAUCUAAAAAUUCAUUCGAUGAGAUAACUUCUUCGUUCUAGUGAUUCUUUUCUGCUGUCUUUAUUCGAUUACAACACUUUGUUUGUUGAUAUUCUCCAUUUGUUGGCGUAUAUUUUAUUUUUUUUAAUUCUUAUUUCUUUGGCGAGUAUCUGUUAAUUGCUCUUUCGUUACUGAAACCCCCAGCUGAAGCUCUUGAAAUUGUAGAGAAACCAUAAGAAGAGGUUUUUUCUAGGCCUAUGAUCAACAAUGAUGUUCCGUCAUCUCGGACCUUUCAUCUCUUCAAAUAGUCCAGCACUUCUUUGUUGGGUGUGGAAUUGGCCAAACAAGUCAAUUCUUUUGUUCACAUAGUCGUGAUGUAAGCGCUUACCUCAUGAUAGUCGUGAUGUAAGCGCUUACCUCAUCAUAGGAAAUUCAUUCCUAUAAAUAGGUAGCUUAUGGUUCAUUUGUAAAACACACCAAAUUGAAGAAGACAACACAUCCCAAAGAGAGAGAAAAAUCUAAGAGAAAUACUCUUAGUGAAAGGCCUAAGUAAGAGAAGGUCUUUGAGAGAAUUUUCUGUGGUAAAAUUCUUGAGUGUAAUUGGGA
Long non-coding RNA from Lycium barbarum (goji berry), 1522 nucleotides. RefSeq lists it as uncharacterized. The record is from RefSeq and is a predicted model, not a curated record. NCBI's taxonomy places the organism in Eukaryota, Viridiplantae, Streptophyta, Magnoliopsida, Solanales, Solanaceae. The transcript is spliced from 3 exons.